This is a non-coding RNA of Equus caballus (horse), 13307 nucleotides long. The record is from RefSeq and is a predicted model, not a curated record. Lineage: Eukaryota; Metazoa; Chordata; Mammalia; Perissodactyla; Equidae.
CUCACACACACACACACACACACACACACACAAAACAUAAUCCUAUGAUAUGCAUUUCCUUUGAAAUAUGUAUCCUAAAGGGUGGAUAUUGGUUUCCAUAUUUCUAGAGCAUUAAUUAUGUGCAUUUUGUUCUUAAAAUAUGAAAGACCAAAUAUCUAAUAGAGAAGAUUAAUUGCACUGUAGAACCAGGUGAUCCUGAGAAUCGAGAACCUCAGGUUUGAAAUCGAGCUUCUCUACUCAUUUUGUGACGUUCCGUAAGUUACCCAAUGUCCAAGUAGAUAGAAACAAGUCACAAAGGUCAACAGAGCUGGUAGGAAAAUGAAAUAUAAGGUUUGAGGAUUUCAUGUAGUUAUAAGAUGUUGGAUACAUUUUGCUCUAUCCAUAAGCUGCAAAGCUUGUCUGAUUAAUUUACUAGACCUGUGAAAAUCAGAUAAACCAGGUAUCCUCUAGAUAGAAUGAGAUAGAGAAAUACUAAAAUAUUUCUUAAUGCUUUAAUUUAUCAUUGGCAAAGAGCUGCAAUGUCAAUCUUGAGAAAUACUUUCUUCUUCCCUGUCAGUCUACCAUUGAUUCCUGAUAAGGGGGUGAUGCUGAAUGGAAAGAAGCCUGAUUUUGGUGUCAGGUAGAUCUGAAUUUGUAAUCUUGUUAUGCUCCUUCCUAACCGUGCAAAUCUGGACAAGAAAUUGGAUCUGUCUACACCUCAAUUUCUUUUCCUGUUAAAGGCAGACUAAAACAGCUAUUGGACAGGGUUGCUAUAAAUAUUAGAAAUGAUAAGUAUACAAUGCCUAAGACACAUAGUGGAUGCUUAUUAAAUGUAACUGUUAUUUUAGGGAGAGAAAAUAGCAUUGAACAGAAGAAGAAAACGGGAGUAAGCCUUAGGUUAAAUCUAGACUUCAGCACUCAGUACUUUAGAGAAUUUAAGCUCGCUGAACCUCGAUGUACUCCUCUUAAAAAUGGAGACAAUUAUAACUAACUUACAGGCUUUUUUUUCAUUCAAUGCACAUGGCAUAGUGUGUAUCACGUAGGAAUCACUAAAUAAAUGAUCAUUAUCAUUGGCAUUAUUAAUAUUAUAUUAAGCUUCCCAAUGGGAGCCCAGGUGGAACAUGCUUACAAUGAUGUGCUGGUUAAAAAAUGAGCUGAUCCGAUUUUACUGGCCUUAUUUGACUUUAUUUCUCUGUUUUGGUCUCCUCAUUUAUCCUUUUCCUUACAGAUCAAAUAGAUAUUAAAUGAAGAGCUCAAAAUUAUUUUAAAAAACAAUGUUGAAUCCAAAUUGCAGAUAUCUAUUCAGUAAAUCAUGCUAAGUAGAUAAGAUUCUUAUUUCUUCUUAUUUACCUAAAAAAAACCCCAAAAGCUGGUUGUGUUUUGGCUUCAGAAAGCGAGAUCUUGUAGUUGAGACAGGAUAGAAAUAGCCUUUAAAAGCUAAAUGAAAUGAAUAGUCUUGCAAAGGGAAAAAAAGAGGAAUUUUUCAUGAGUCCCUGGAAACCAGCAAAAAAGCAUCAAAACUGUUGUUUUCAGUAAUAAUUGUGAUUACUUGGUUAAAAUACCCCGUACGAGAAGCUUUCGAUGUUUUUUGUGCCUCUACAAGGAAAAUUAAAACAGAACACACAGCAUUGGGGCCAAUUUGUUUCCAAGGAAGUCAAUUAUUAAUACUGUAUUUAGUAUUUAAUGAACUAAGCCGAUGUAUGUGAAACGCUGCAGAGAUCUCCUUACCAGCGGAGAACAGGUGUUGAUAGAAGCUUUGCCCGUAUGUUUACCAGCUGAUUAGUACCCAUUAAAAUGAUAAUAAUCUAAUAAAAAUUACUUUAUGUCUAGUGAAAGUUGAAAGUCCCCUGUGUAUUGGAGAAUGAUUUUUUUUCUAUUGCAUGGCAGUGAUAGGAUUGAAGUGACAAGAAUCCACCCCCAAAGCAGCGUGAAUGUUCUGAAUUUCUAUGCCUUAGACUUUUCACUUCAAGUGUCCCUUUCUCCAAAGGUUGACUCUGGCAGUCAGGACACUUCACUGUUUUUCAUGGCUUCAAGGGAAGGACAGUUACCAACCCACCAAAAUCCUCUGGCAAUAGGAAAAGGAAUCAGAUCCUUAGUAAACGACACUACCUUGUCCAUCUUAGGAGACCAGAGGAGAAACUAUGGGUGUCCUGAAGGACUGUUCUGGGCUUUGGUUGUCCCAGACAGCCCCGAGCAGUUGCUAAGGAAACUCUGAGCCAUCUGUGAGCUGGCAGUUUCCUGGGAAACCCUUGAUUUCAGGCUAGCCGUAGUCAAAAUUGUUAUGAAUGUGAGGUCACAUCAUCCCCAGCCUCACACUUCUGACCCCUUCUCUUCAUGACGUGCUCCACUCAUUCUGUCUCAGCUGAGCCUUGCACACUUUACUCUUGCUCUUCUACCAAAAGCUGAACUCAGGAAAUUUUCAGGAAUUUGGUUAUACGGUAGGGUAGAGACUGAAAACUAAGGGUUAUUUGCGUUGUAACAGCAUCAAAUUCCUCCAACUGAUUAAGGGUCUCCUGGAGGAAAUUGGGGCAUUUGGCCAAGUACAGGUGACACAUUCGCCUGCCUCAUUUACCUGUAGCUUCCAGGACCCGGAUUACUACACAAUGGAGUGUAUGUCGUUAUUCCUUUUGACUUCUUCCUAAAAGUAUUGAUGGAAACAUAGUAGAAAGAAUGAAUUUUGGAGGUAGAAAUGUAUUUUUUUACUGAUUUAUUUUAAUAGUGAUGGGGACCCUAUUGAAAUUUGCAGUAUAGAAAGAAGUCAUAGGAGAAAAACCAGAUGAUUUCUGGAAAUAAGGAUUUUGUAGAAACUGUGAAUAAGAAAUAAGCAUCUUAAUACUAAUGCCAAAGUCUGUCCUUUGUUUAUGUGUUCUAUAAUGUUGAGACUGUUCAGCAUUCUAAAUUGCUUUAUACUUCAGAUUAACGUGAGGCCAGAAUGAUUUAAGGACUAUUUUGGUCUUAAAAAUAGAAAUCUCCACAUUUAAAACAGAAACACAACCUUUAAUUGAUUGGCAAAAAUAGGGUUCUUUUCAAAGGAAGACUUGGGCAGGCCCCAGAUGAAGGCAACGAAGAGCAGCCUGGUUCUGGAAAGGGAAGUCAGCAGAAUUGUUCUGUUGAUCUAUCCUCUGCUUUUCUGGGCUGCUACAGGAAACAGACUUCAAGGAAAAGGUCAUAGGUCACCUGGGGCUCUGGGGCUUAAGGCAACCAUGCAAAAAUCUAGACGGCUCAGAAUCUUUCUUUCUCACAAAGGACACAUUAUGAAUUGGUUCCUGUAUGUGUGUACAUUUGUUUCGUACCCAGUCACCAUGCUGGCAGAAAAGUAUUGCUGUUAUUUCUAUGAAGGAAACUUUGAAACUUCAUAGUUUUUCUUUGCCAUGACUGGUGACUUUUAAAAUUCAGUGAAAACCUCUUGAUCUAGGCAUUGGACUUGAAAAUUAGAGACUUAAUUGGGAACCAAAAAGAUAUAAGUCCCAAGACUGUAAGUUGGCCACUUUUGGAAAAAUACACUUUAGAAAGUGUGAUGAAUGAUUUUUUUGUGCUCAUAUUCCUUCAUCUUUAGCCCAGAAGAUACUGAGCUGGUACCGAAUUAACAGUUCUUAGAAUGAACUUCCGCUUGAUCUCAGGAUAGCAGCCUAAGCAGAAGGAGGAGGAAAUCUGGGGCAAAUGAUUACAAUAGCAGGAACUGUAAGAUAAAAUUUGAUGCUAUCUUUUCAGCACUCAACCAAUUCAGGUCUGAACUUUUAUCUCUAAUUUGUGAUUUAUUUGGCAAAUUCAUGCAAAUAAGUCCCCAAGUUAUCUGUCUAUUCUUAUUUGUUGUCUGUCCAAUACAUCUGGAUGAAAAUAUAAUUACAGUGAAAUCACAACAGUGAGCAAGAAGCCUCAAAAUCUCAUUAAAGAUAGAAUAUGCUUCCUUAGGAAAAUUUGUACAAAGUAUUAGGAUUUAGUGUAUAUAGAUUGAGUUUAAGUUACCUAAGAUUGUUUAGGGAACUGAUUUGAACAAGUGCUUUAUGGAUAACAAAUGGAAAGGAAUAAGAAGGGGCUUUUAUCAAGUCCCCUGGAUAUGCUGGAGUGAUGACUUCACUACUCUGUGAGUGGUAGAGGAGGAGUAAGGAAAGGGAGCACCCCCCAGACCACAGGAGCUCUCCUUGAGCCCAGGAAGAGUCAGUGGAUCUGUUGUCUUCCUCGGUGCACUGUAAGACUUGACCAGGUGGCUACAAGUAAAACAUUGUAGGGCACAGUUGACUAUUUACUGCUGGCCCUUUAUACAAGGCCAAUCUAUCCAGAGGCUAUUCCAUGGUUCUCAUAAAGGAAUAUACAACUAUGAACACUUGAAAGAGAACCCUCUGGGAUCUCUAUUCCUAACUAAGUGAUGUGACUUACUACUGGCUGCUGGAUCUUUUGGCCUUCAUGAUAUGUGGACACCACUUCUGAUUUCUUGGGCCUUAAUACUCCUGCCCAACUUUUGAUCUUGUCCACUUUUGUACUGGCAUCCUUUGUAGUUUUAGGUAAGCUCACCCUACUCCAGACUCAGAAUUUUGCCAUUCCUGAAGAAGGAGAGUUAUACAGAUAUGAUGUAGAUUAGUCCCCCUAGCUUAACCGUAAGGCUUUAGGCAAGUUCUAGAGACACGCUGGGUAACACAAUGGCCAUCAUUAAUGCUGAGUAUCAUACUUUCCAUCAUUUGGCUUCUAGAGGUGAUGGAAUAGGGACCCAGGGUUUUCCAGAAACCAAGAGUAAUUCUAAAAGGCAAGACCUUAAGGGACAUCCUCUUCUUUGGCCGUCAAAGCAACCGGAGCUGUCACUGGGAUUAGCAGACAGAGGAUCAUGAUGGGGUUCUCUUUAGCUAUGAAACGAGGAAGAAGAAAAUCUUCUCUUAACAAUAAUAUACACGUGCCAUGAGAGAGAUGAAGCAGAAGAUUAAGCAAGAAACCCAGCUAUUUUAUUGCCCUAAGGCAUUACUCAUUUUCCUGACACAUUAUGUUUUUAAUUAAAAUUGCAUGUGAGUUAAUUAAAAUAUUCACUCAGGCCCUUUUUUCCCUCUUCCUGCUUGGGUUCCUUGCUACUCUUUUAGCUUUUUGGUAAAACUCAGUUUCAUUUUAACUCAGGUGCCUUUAUCAGCUGCAACUUUAAUAAAGAGUCUGUAUACUGAGGUAACUAAAAAAAUAAAAUCUAAUUUUAAAAAUUCACCCCUAAGUGACCAAGGUAAAGGGAUGUGGCCAGGAGUGAAAUCAUUAAGUCUUUUAUGUUCUUCCCUGCUUAUUUAAUCAAAAACAUGAAAUUAUCAUUGAUAGAAAGUGUAUUCAGAAGAAGUACUGUGAUUUUUUCCUAUGCCAGGCGUGUUUUUCUUGUUAUAGACACGUUUAUCCAUCUACAGUCCUUUGUUCAGGAAAGGAUCAUAGCUUAUGGCACCUACGGUUGUGUAACCUCAGCUUUCCCUGAUUACAGCUGAUUAUUAGCCUUUAGUGGACAUCUAUCCAGUUCAACCUAUCAAUGGAUCAGUAACCCUGAGAAACAAAAUCCCUCUUGUGUAGACACUCAGAGACCUUGGUUACUGAUGAGUCCAUAUUGGAUCUGUGAGGACAAAUAGGCCAGUACUGGAGGCCAUAUUGGGUCGCUUGUAAACAAAGGAAGAAUAGACAGGAAGAAGCAGAGAUAGUUGCAGCCACGUGGCUAUGAGACAGACAAGAGAGAACCUUCAGUUUCAGUGUCUUCCCCAUCUACUUCCCUUGAGGCCUGGCUGAGUCCUUACUGUAUCCCUGAGAUGGCUUUUUUUUUUUUUUGCAAAAACCCCUUUUUAAGAGUUAGCUAAAAUGAAUUCUGGAUCCUUGUAAACAAUGAGCUCUAACUAAAACAUCUGUGCUUCAAAACUCCAUAUAUUCCUAAGCAGCCCUGACAGAGAUAAUAUUAAAAAGCAAAACCAUAAAAUGGGUAGUAAGAAACCAGUUAUUGCAGUUCAAGAAUAUAUAGGCUGAAGCCGCCUGGUCGAAGUGAAGUCCAGGAGAGAGAAGAGUGUUUUUUCCAACUGUAGUAGAACCCCCUUCGUGAAAAGUUUGGGAAAAAUCUGUUUCUGUUCUUUUUUCAUUUUUUUUCCAUCUCCAAUGAUGUUUUAGUACCUUAAAAUGUUAAUGAGUCUGAGAAACUGGUACCCUGGGCAGCUACUUGCGACCCACUUGUUAAUUUAUCUCUGCUACCUAGAUAAGGAUCUCAAUGUCUUUCUCCCUAGAUUGGAUUUCUAAAGUACCAGAAUUAGCCCAGAUGGGUGUGGUGCUCGCCUAAGUCUGACGUUGCAAUCCAUUAAUCUUCUGAACUCUUAAACCUCCUUCACAGCUUAAAUUUCAUGGUCUAUCAUUAUAAUUCCAUCUCAACUCUUUAUGGCAAAACCAUGUUUGAGGGUUAAAUCCGUAUCUCCACCAACUUCUUGCCUACAUUUGGACAGUAUGUAAAUGGAGGAAAAUUUACUGCUAUUCUAACUGACCUCCAGAAAGCAAAAUUAUCAGCUGAGAGUGAGUAUGGUAAAGAUAGAAAUACAUAUUGGAGAUUUGGGGCAUGACACUCACCUAUCAUAUUUACUUUCGUACCUACAUUGUACCUUUCAUAUGCCUGCAUAAGUUGUUUAUAUGGAUGAACUGGCAAUGCUCCUACCUAUGGUCAACCUCUCCACAUGUGCAGUAAGUAGAUCUCAUUCUCUCUACAUGAGGAUAUUGCUUCAAAUCUCCCUUCUCUCUUACAUUAUCAAUUUGCCCUUUCUUCUGGGGCUACCUCAUCAGCAUAACAUCUUACUGUUAUUUCUCCCAUCUUCAAAUUCUUUCUUGAUUGUUCUUUUCCCUUCAGCUGUCAUCCCUUCAUUCUCUUUCCCUUAAUUGAUGAACUCCUUGAUGAAAUUUACUGAACUAGUGCUUCCUGUUCCUCUGCCCUCAUUCCCUCUUGAAUCAACUCCAUUCGGACUUUGGCCCCUACCCAUUCCAUCAAAACUCUUGUUAUCAAGCCUCGAUUGGCCGUUGCAUUUCUAAACACAAUGCUCAGUUUGUAGUCCUUAGCAGAGUUGAGCACCUCUUCCUCUUUCAUCAUCUGGCUUCCAGGACGUCAUACUCUCUUGGUUUUACCAUUUCACUAGAUCCUCCUUCUCAGUCUCCUUUGCUGAAUAUUAUUCUCCUCUUAAUGUUAUUGUUCUUCAGGACUUAGUUCUUCUUAUCUCUAUCUACAGUAGACUCACCCCUGGUGAUAUCACUGAAUCUCAUGGUUUUAAGUAUAAUUUCUAUACAAAUGACUUUCAGAUUUAUAUCUCUUGUUCAGACAUUUCUCCUGAAAUUCAGACCUCUACUUUCACUUGCCUACUUGACAUCUUCAUUUGAAUAUCUGUUAAGAAUCUAAUACUUCAGUCUAAAACUCAACUCCUGAUAUUCUACCAACUAAUUGCUUUUAUCCAUAGCCUUCUCUGUCUCACUGGAGGGCAGCUCUAUUCUUCCAGUUUCUCAGUCCAAAACAUUUGAGUUCUCUAAGAUUCCUCUUUAUCUUUCUUUCCUGCUUAUAAUAAUUAUUUUAUAAGAUGCUAUGUCCUUUACCUUGAAAAUAUUUGUCCAGAAUCUGACCACUUCUUGCUAUCUCCACUGCCACCACCACCAUGUCUAUCGAUCAUGAUUAUUGCACUAGCCUUAUAACUGGUUUCCCUGAUUCUCUGUUUGUGCCUCUACUGUCCAUUUACAACAGAGCAGCAAGAGUGCUUCUUUUAAAAUGUAAGUGAAAUUGUAUCAUUCAUCUGCUAAAAAUCCUGCGAUGGCUCCCUAUUUUACUCAGAGGAGAAGCCAAAGUCCUCACAAUGGGUAACAGGGCCUUGCAUAUCUCACUCACUUCUAGACACAAUGACCACUUUUCUGAUCCUUCAAAACUCCAAGAACACUCUUCAGUUCCUUCAGCUUUCCUCUUAGAUAUGCACAUGCUAAUCUCCUAACCUCAUUUAAGUCAUUGUUCAGAAGUCACAUUUUUAGUGAGUCUACCCUGACCGCCUAUUUAAAAUUGCAGUCUCCCAUAUCCUGAUGCCUCCUAAUCUGCUCUUUUGUUUUCUAUAGAGCUUAUCAUCUUCUAACAUACUAUAUGAUUUACCUUUUUAAUAUUUGUUUAUUCUGUUAUUAUUCUACUGAUCAUCUCUUACAUAUGAAAAUGUAAUCUCCCUCUAAAAUUAGGGGUUUGUAUGUUUUUUUGCAUUAAUAUUUUUGAUCAUCUAGAACAGUAUGCCUGGCAUAUAGUAGGUACACUUUCAACAAAGCUUGAAAACCAGCCUUAAAAGUAUCAACCUAAUUUGUAAGUAAACUCAUGCCCUGGCAGACAAAUCUUCAUACUCUUUAAAGGAACACAACAGAAUCCAGACACAAAAUCCAGACAACAAAAUGCAAACACUGGAUAUCAUAGCAUUUAUAAUACCUAACAUCUAAUUUUUUAAAACUACUGUACUUACAAAGAAGUAGGAAAAUAUGACCCACAACCAUGAAAAAAGUCAGCUAGUUCAAGGCAAAUGUGUAAAAGAGAAAAAUGGCUUUGGUGCUUUCUUCCUGUACAUUCAGUGAAAUCUCACAUCUCAAAGCUUUCUAAGCUUGCAACAUAGCCCCCAGCUCACAGUGCUCAGAGCUUCACACAGCAGUGCUCUCUCUUCUUUCUCUUCCUCUAUAUGCAACUUAACUCAUUUGAUCUGUCUUUAUAGUAUUCUUUUUUACUUAGUUUCUCUCUCCUGUAUAUAUCAAGUUUCAACUGGCUAAUCUUUUAAUCUAAUAUAUUAUAACGAGGAAAGGCUAAAGCUACAAAAACUUCCCCAUGUCUAUACUACGUGGGGCCUCUCUUUACCACACCAUGGUAUUGUCAUCUUACUCUAAAUUGUAGAAACUUCACUUGAAUAGAGGAAGAGUAAUUGAUUAGAAAAGUUCACUUUGAAGGGAAUCUCAUGGAACCACCGAUGGAUAGGGUGGAUGCCUACUUUGAAUUUCAUUUCUGGGGGCCAAACCAAUCAUUAUUGUUGUUACUGGGGCACGAGAUCAGGGAUGGACAGGCUGUGAUGGUGAUGGGAAGCAAAAUCACCAAGUAUUGGCCAGAUUUUCUUAAUUUUCUCCUGCCUUAGAUUGGGAUUGCGGUGCUUGAGACUGAUGUGGGGUGCACCCAGCAAGAAGAUACCAAGUAACCCCAGAUGGAGGAUGAAAGAGAAGAGAAAUGUCACUCCUAGCAUGAUUGAUCAAAAUGUGUUUUAUUAUUGGUAUUGGCGGUGAAUCAAACAUGCGACUUCACACACACAACGUAUUCUUUGGAGUACUGCUUCAGGUUCUUGCCCUAUAAACAAAGAACGUCUGUUAAAUUCUACAUCAAACAAUUUCCAUCAACAAGUAAAAGGAUGGGGGCUGCCCUGUGGCCGAGUGGUUAAGUUUGCCGUGCUACACUCUGGCAGUCCUGGGCUCACUGCUUUGGAUCCUGGGCACACACCUAGCACCACUCAUCAAGCCAUGGUGAGGCGGCGUCCCACAUAGAAGAACUAGAAGGACGCACAGCUAGGAUACACACCCAUGUACUAGGGGGCUUUGGGGAGGAAAAAAAGGAAGAUUGGCAACAGAUGCCAGCUCAGGGCCAAUCUUAAAAACAAAAUGUCAAUGAAUGUCUGGCAUGUUUAUAAUUGUAUUCACUGAAUUUUGAACAUAUUCCUAAAAGGAGAAAACAAUUUUUUUGACUAAGGAAUAGUGAGAACCAAAUAUUCCACUUAGAAUUUUGCAUGUCUGAUAAUUGGAAGUGUCUUCCACAGAUUAGCUCCGUGCUCCAUGUAUUUCAAGUCUUAUCCAUCUGCCAUGACUCACAUUUGUCUUAUCCAGGACACACUUAUAUCAAGAUGGGCUGCACAUUUAUAUCACAUCACAACAACACAUGAUUUGGCAUAGUGGGCUGUAGGAAUGUUCUGGAAAUUUCUUCCUAUACUGGGACAGGUAGGAAUAAUUUAAACUUAACAUAAAUGACCAAAAAAAAAAAAAAACCAUAAAUAUAUCCCACUAAACCCAACUUAAAUAUAUCCCUAACUCAACUUUUCCUUAGCUCUAUUCCCAAAGUUUCUGUUGACCUCCAGGCCACAAAGUGGAAGGGAAGUACUGAGGGGAAUUUGCAGUGAAAGAGCAGUGGUCUUCACAGAUCAUGAUUAAUGCAGUUUGCUUUGGCAAAGUUUACAAAAACAUAUCACACGACCUUGGGGACAAAUUGCUGGGGUAACCCUCCGAGCCUAGAAAGAGCUCGUGGAAGAGAGAGACCCUGAUGCAAAUGCCAUCGCAGGUUAUGACUAGAUCUGCCUCUGGCAUGUUUCAUUUGCUCUGCUGUAGACUGCCACCGUAUAGAAGAAACAAACUCCUGUGCCCGUUUCUUAGCUGAUACGAUACCCAGCAGGAUGUCCCCUCCCUUCCAACAGUGUUAAAUGCUUUCUCCAGAGAGUUCCUUUAAAGAGUCUGAAAUUCCCAGACAAAGAAGAACCACUGGGUCAUGAGAGCAAGAGUAGCUUCACUCCCCUGCUACAACGUCCACAUGAGCUCUCAAGAUCCAUUUGUACAUAAUCUGCUUAGGGUUAAAAUCCUGGCUCAGGCAUUUACUACCUGUACAAUGUUGACCAAGCUACUUUAACGUACCUGAGCCUUACCUCCUCAUCUGUAAAAUACGCACUGUUAUAUCUACACCAUAGCAAUGAUUGCUAUGAGGAGUACAGGAAAUAAAUGAUGUUAAGUACCAAGCGUAAUGCCUGGUUCAUAGUGGGUGCUCAGUAAGUGGCAGCUAUGGUUGUCCUAAUCCUCAUGGUUACUUUUUAUUUGUCAUAGACUCCCAAUUGAUUUAUUCAGAAACGUAGACUGUGAGCUCCGAAAGUGGAACCUAUCAGUUGAUUCAUCUUUGUAUCCGCUAUGCAUAGCACAGUGUCCGUUACAUACAGUAGGGGCUUAGUGAAUAUUAUGGAACUGAAUUGGCAGAAUUUGGACAAAACUCUUAUACACCCAGCUACAAACUUUGGAAAAGAGCUUUGCCUCGCUUUUCUAUCACCAAUUGCUGCACAGAAAACCUUCCCUCUCAGUGGGUCACUCCUGAGAGUGGAUUACUAUGUAAUGGGUGUCACCUAUUCCUCAUUACUAAUCCCAUCUCUGUCAUUUACUAGUCUGAUGCUUUGGACAAAUGACUUUGCCUCAGUCUUUUUAUCUGUAAAGUGAAGAUAGUAGUUUCUCCCUCCUGGGGCAGUUGUAAAGAUAAAAUGAGUUAAUACACACAAAGCUCUUAGAAAAGUGCUUGAUAGAGAAAAUGUGCCACAAAUGUAACUAUUAUUAGUUAUCACCAAAAUAUCCCAGGCUUUGUGCUAGAAUUUGGGUUUUCGGAGCUCAGUAAAAUGCUACCAAGCGCCAUUCUCGGGUGGGCCUUUUCGGCAAUAGUCUUUCUCAUUGUGUUUUUCACACUUCUCACUGUUCAGCCUCUGUUUACUAUUUUUCUCCUCCAGCCUCCACAUAGGACACAGGAAGCUUCUGUCUGGUUAUUAUGCUUUAGUGACAGCACAUGAGGCUAUAUACUUGCUUUUAAAAUUCUUCGCUCUCGACACCUGAACAAACUUUAGAUUUGGUAGAAUAAGCUGGUUAGGAAUCCAUCCAAGGAAUUUAAUGAGAGGACUUAACAAGAGCUAACAGAGCACUUCAAACUAAUGCUCACCAUAUGUAAAUGUGUGCCUUUCCUCUCGUGAGUGAAAAUAGAAACAUGAUUAGGAGAAAAACUUGAGUAUCUGUGCAGAAGAUGUCUGCAAUAUGGGUUUAAUUUUAAUAAGCAUUUUAAUAUUUCCUUACCAUUUUAAUGAUUUUAAUACAGAGUAGGGCAUCGCAUUAGUUUACAAAGUGAAUAUUUUCAUAUUCUGCCACACUGCUUUGCAUUUUCAAGCAGAAUCAACUUUUCUUGUUUCUUGGACUUCUUUCCCCUUGACUUGAGCUGGUCAUUGAUCUACGUAAUCUCUAAACCUCCUUCCAUUUAAUCCAUUUGUUAUUUUAGGACAUCUAAAGCAUUUCGGCUACUGACUAUUUUGGCAUCAGGGCCAUCUAAGUCAUGCAUAGGUUUGUUAUUCCAGUAUAGUCAUUCCCCAAAUUCAUUUAUUGACUUAUCAUGGAUAUUUCUCUUGUAUUUCUAAGCUCUGGCAUCAUUUAUUAGGAAGAUAAAUGAGAGUAAUUAAGCUUCAAGGCCAUAAGUGUUGAAACUCUUUGGAAUUAGAAAGCUAUUAAAAUGACGGAGUGCUUGGCUCUGCCUAGGUAAGUCCUGAUCUUUCACCUAUGGCUCUACUACUUGGAGUAACCUUUGCUGGCUCUCCUAACAGCACUCGAUGUUUUCAUGAGGCCAAAUAUAACCCCACAGGCAGUGCCUUGGAUGGAUGGCCAGUUUGUUUUCAAAGGCCAUUUUGACUAGAUUACAUAGCACUAGACUAGACAGUUGACAGGCAUUACUUUUCCGUUAAUAUUUGUUAAUCUAUUCAACUGAAUAACCGGACUAGCUGCUGAUCAACCAUCUCUUCAAGAAUAGCAGUGAUGCCUUUUUACAAAGGUUUGUGUGAAUUUUUAUUUUUUUCUUGAAAAUAAGUCAAGCUUAGGAUUUAAUCACUUAAAAUAGAUAAAAUGUAAUUAAUAAGAUCAUGUUUAACUCCUUACAAGUGUUAUAAAUCCCCUAACCUAGCCUCUUUACUUUCUUAAUAGAGAAAAGCUCUUGAUCAGAAUCAAGAGAUGUAAACAGAUGUGAAAGAAAUGCAUUUGACUUGUAUCUUCCUUUCUAAAUGCCCUCCUAAAGUCCUGUGUAGUUUGGCAAUUCUGGAUGUGAAAAUACCGUAGAGGUACUGUGAGUUUGUAAAUUAUCAUCAUUUGCUAUUUUUAAUUAUCUGAGCUCCCACAAUUCAUCAGGAGACCUUGCUAAGCACGGUGUUUUACAAAAUUUCCCUGGCCAGUGCUCUUACAUUCUAAAUUGCAGUCAUUAUUUCACGUUUCAGGUCUUUCUCAUUAUAAAACCUUUAUUUUGGUGUGCACAAAACACUUUUCUUCCAAUGAAGUGACAAACACUUUUACAAUGCUACUGUUUUUUUCCAAACGUGAAUGGUUUGAAAAUAUGAAGAAAAUGUGAAAUGAGACAUUAUAACAUCUUUUCAUGAUGGCUUAAAAAGAUGUAUAACUUCAACAAAGUAGAGGCCACGCUAGAGAAGCAUCAUUAUUGCUUAGUUAGAACAUCCCAAUUAUAACCUCAAUGGUUUUAUUAUUUUAUCAAAAGGUAAUUUUAAUAUUAUUUGUAGUCAGAAAUAUGCCCUUAGAGGUUUUUUUUAACUUUC